CUACUAUCUAUGAAGGAUCGAGUACUUUGAUUUUGCCCUUAAAAGAGAGAACUGCCAUGGCUGAAAGCAGUGAAGGACCGACCAAAGGAAAGACAAUCUGGAGAUGAACAGAGGUAAAGCUGUUCCGUGACCGAGCGUUAAUCGUGCUGAGGAGAAAGCAAUUUCUCGAAUUUUAGGUGGUACCGCGUGUGAUAACUCGCCCUUGUG
RNAcentral lists this non-coding RNA (207 nucleotides) under Enterococcus sp. RNAcentral describes it as "T-box sequence". It matches the Rfam family "T-box leader". From Rfam's summary of the family: Uncharged tRNA acts as the effector for transcription antitermination of genes in the T-box leader family. T-boxes are found upstream of many aminoacyl-tRNA synthetase genes and some amino acid biosynthetic genes usually in Gram-positive bacteria. The record is from RNAcentral. Lineage: Bacteria; Bacillati; Bacillota; Bacilli; Lactobacillales; Enterococcaceae.